Molecule: ribosomal RNA, 500 nt
Filed under: uncultured bacterium
Lineage: Bacteria
Description: partial 16S ribosomal RNA
Rfam family: Bacterial small subunit ribosomal RNA
Source: RNAcentral
AUUAAACGCUGGCGGAAUGCUUUACACAUGCAAGUCGAACGGCAGCACGGACUUCGGUCUGGUGGCGAGUGGCGAACGGGUGAGUAAUACAUCGGAACGUGCCCAGUCGUGGGGGAUAACGUAGCGAAAGCUACGCUAAUACCGCAUACGAUCUAAGGAUGAAAGCGGGGGAUCGCAAGACCCCGCGCGAUUGGAGCGGCCGAUGGCAGAUUAGGUAGUUGGUAGGGUAAAGGCCUACCAAGCCGACGAUCUGUAGCUGGUCUGAGAGGAUGAUCAGCCACACUGGGACUGAGACACGGCCCAGACUCCUACGGGAGGCAGCAGUGGGGAAUUUUGGACAAUGGGCGCAAGCCUGAUCCAGCCAUUCCGCGUGCAGGAUGAAGGCCUUCGGGUUGUAAACUGCUUUUGUACAGAACGAAAAGGCUCUGGUUAAUACCCGGGGCUCAUGACGGUACUGUAAGAAUAAGCACCGGCUAACUACGUGCCAGCCGCCGCCGUAA